This 1118-nucleotide long non-coding RNA is filed under the name Olea europaea subsp. europaea. The record is from RNAcentral. Lineage: Eukaryota; Viridiplantae; Streptophyta; Magnoliopsida; Lamiales; Oleaceae.
UAUAGGCCAAAUUCUGGAGUUUUCCUUCUCAAAUACAUUGAAUGCUUCGUUUUCAGAUAUCCAUUAGAAACAGUUUCACCAAAGAAGAUACGUUUAUACAGACAAAAGAUUGUCACAGAUAUUUGUCACAAUGAAUAUUUUUUAUGUCCAUGUUUAUCCUAACCAUAACAAAUUAUGAAAAUUCAGUAAGAUUCCUUUAUCAAAAUUCAAUCUAUAAUCUUAUAUUCAUAGCUUCAAAAUUACUUAUUUUAAAUAUUUCUAUACAUUGGAAUAAAUGUAAGUUCUUCGGUGGCAAAUAUGAGACAUUAAAUCUGUUCCAACUUCAGGUUUUACGAAAUGGGAAAUGGAAUGAGGAAAAAGCCUCAAUGUUGGUUCCUUCGAAUAUAGUCAAUAUCAAACUUGAAGAUUUAGCCCCACCUAACUAUUAUUCUAUUAGCUAGAUGCAUCUGGUACCAGAAGCUAAAGGAACUCAGUAAGCUGGUAAUCCACGUAUACUUUAACAGGAGUUGAUGUAUCUUCAUUUAUUAAUUUUGUAAUCUAUAUGUUCAAAUUCAAUAUCUAUUAUAGUGGUUUUGAAUUUGAAGGAGUAAAUGUUUUUGUUGUUUAAGUCUGUAAAAUGGUGCUGAAGUUACUUUUAUCUUGCUGAAUGAAGUUUAAUUCUUAAGACAAGGUUAGUGUUGUUUAAUUUAACAUUAACUGUGUUUUGGAAUGUCACUACCCACUUCACCACUAUUUUAUGUAUUUUUGUAAUACAGACAAGCUAAAGAUGUUAUAAAAGUUAUAAAGAAUACCUGGGAAGCAAAGAUUCAAACACACAAUUGUUUACAGUACUUAUAGGGUAUAUAAUUUUUUUGCUUGUUUUGAUGGAUCUCUUUUAGUUGCGGUGGAUUAUAUAUGUCCCCCUGACCACUUGCUUUGAAGCAUUGAUAAAACUUUGUUUUUUGUCGGAUUCACAGCUUCUUGAGACGUUGAUGAACAAUAUUGGAGAACAUGUUUAUCAUCAGGUUAUAGGCACAGCCACAGAUAGGUAUUCUUCCUAUAUUUGUGAUGAUAGUUAAGAAAAAGGUAGAAAUUAUUUUCCAUGCCUUAUUCUCAGUCAUUUAUUGAUUAAAUUAAUA